UUUUGGAAGCACCAGAAAAAUACAAAACCUAAACCUAAACCCAUUUUUUCAAGAGAAACAGCCGCCACCCCCCGGGUCCAAAGGGAAAAAAACCAAUACUCUCUCUUUGCCAAAGAACCGAACCCGCUCCCUUUCAAAACUAGCCGGCCCUCAAAAAUCCAUCGGAGCCUCAUCUCCUUCUCUUCUCCCAGGCCGCUGCUCCCUUAGAAGAAGAAAAACCAAAGUUUUCCCUUCCCCUUUCCCCCUUGGUUUUGGCAAAGUGAAAUCGGAGAGAAACCCACGAAACCGGCCGGCCGGACACUCUCUCCCUCACUGCAAACUCUCAGCCUUUCCCUUUGCAGCCUCUCCAGCCGCCUCUCACUGGGAAAAGAAACCAGCCGCCCCUCCCAUCUCCUAUUGGUCUCUCCAUCUUCUUGGCAGAGGAAAGAACCAACCGGACCGGCCUCCACCCGAAACCCUUCAGCAACCGGCUCGCCUCUGACUCAAACUCGUGUAGCAGAUCUCGACCGAGAUCCAGCUGCAAUGACACCGUCCGAAGAUCCAGCAACCAGCAGAGCCACCCCCCCUGCGCCUCUGUCAACCGACUACAGAUGCCCUGAACUCAGAGCCAUCGACCGCCUGUAAAGGAGGAGAUCUGCAGUGGAAACAGAUCUGAAUGGAAGGUAGAAGGGAGCCGAUUUGAAAACCAAAUUAAAACAGAUUUGCUUGUUGUGGUUUUUGGGUGAUUUGCAGGUAACGGCGCUGCUCAUAGCCGACUGGAGGAUGAAGAGG
Molecule: long non-coding RNA, 771 nt
Filed under: Populus tremula
Lineage: Eukaryota; Viridiplantae; Streptophyta; Magnoliopsida; Malpighiales; Salicaceae
Description: long non-coding RNA (PTRE_LNC000192)
Source: RNAcentral